RNAcentral lists this ribosomal RNA (497 nucleotides) under uncultured bacterium. RNAcentral describes it as "partial 16S ribosomal RNA". It matches the Rfam family "Bacterial small subunit ribosomal RNA", at positions 28 to 507 of the family's 1533-position model. The record is from RNAcentral.
GUCGAACGCUGGCGGCGUGCCUAAUACAUGCAAGUUGAGCGCUGAAGGUUGGUACUUGUACCAACUGGAUGAGCAGCGAACGGGUGAGUAACGCGUGGGGAAUCUGCCUUUGAGCGGGGGACAACAUUUGGAAACGAAUGCUAAUACCGCAUAAAAACUUUAAACACAAGUUUUAAGUUUGAAAGAUGCAAUUGCAUCACUCAAAGAUGAUCCCGCGUUGUAUUAGCUAGUUGGUGAGGUAAAGGCUCACCAAGGCGAUGAUACAUAGCCGACCUGAGAGGGUGAUCGGCCACAUUGGGACUGAGACACGGCCCAAACUCCUACGGGAGGCAGCAGUAGGGAAUCUUCGGCAAUGGACGAAAGUCUGACCGAGCAACGCCGCGUGAGUGAAGAAGGUUUUCGGAUCGUAAAACUCUGUUGGUAGAGAAGAACGUUGGUGAGAGUGGAAAGCUCAUCAAGUGACGGUAACUACCCAGAAAGGGACGGCUAACUACGUG